GCGGAAGUAGCUCAGCUGGUAGAGCGCAACCUUGCCAAGGUUGAGGGCGCGGGUUCGAGCCCCGUUUUCCGCUCCA
RNAcentral lists this transfer RNA (76 nucleotides) under Bacteroidales bacterium. Its description in RNAcentral is "tRNA-Gly". It matches the Rfam family "tRNA". Rfam says of the family: Transfer RNA (tRNA) molecules are approximately 80 nucleotides in length. Their secondary structure includes four short double-helical elements and three loops (D, anti-codon, and T loops). Further hydrogen bonds mediate the characteristic L-shaped molecular structure. tRNAs have two regions of fundamental functional importance: the anti-codon, which is responsible for specific mRNA codon recognition, and the 3' end, to which the tRNAs corresponding amino acid is attached (by aminoacyl-tRNA synthetases). tRNAs cope with the degeneracy of the genetic code in two manners: having more than one tRNA (with a specific anti-codon) for a particular amino acid; and 'wobble' base-pairing, i.e. permitting non-standard base-pairing at the 3rd anti-codon position. Lineage: Bacteria; Pseudomonadati; Bacteroidota; Bacteroidia; Bacteroidales. The record is from RNAcentral.